This 497-nucleotide ribosomal RNA is filed under the name uncultured bacterium. Its description in RNAcentral is "partial 16S ribosomal RNA". It matches the Rfam family "Bacterial small subunit ribosomal RNA", at positions 28 to 507 of the family's 1533-position model. The record is from RNAcentral.
GAUGAACGCUGGCGGCGUGCCUAAUACAUGCAAGUCGAGCGAACAGACGAGGAGCUUGCUCCUCUGACGUUAGCGGCGGACGGGUGAGUAACACGUGGAUAACCUACCUAUAAGACUGGGAUAACUUCGGGAAACCGGAGCUAAUACCGGAUAAUAUAUUGAACCGCAUGGUUCAAUAGUGAAAGACGGUUUUGCUGUCUCUUAUAGAUGGAUCCGCGCCGCAUUAGCUAGUUGGUAAGGUAAAGGCUUACCAAGGCAACGAUGCGUAGCCGACGUGAGAGAGGGGUCGGCCACACUAGAGCUGAGACGCGGUCCAGACUCCUACGGGAGGCAGCAGUAGGGAAUCUGCCGCAAUGGGCGAAAACCUGACGGAGCAACGCCGCGUGAGUGAUGAAGGUCUUCGGAUCGUAAAACUCUGUUAUUAGGGAAGAACAAAUGUGUAAGUAACUAUGCACGUCUUGACGGUACCUGGUCAGAAAGCCACGGCUAACUACGUG